This 60-nucleotide microRNA precursor is filed under the name Tribolium castaneum (red flour beetle). Its description in RNAcentral is "Tca-Mir-9-P9a_pre stem-loop". Lineage: Eukaryota; Metazoa; Arthropoda; Insecta; Coleoptera; Tenebrionidae. The record is from RNAcentral.
UCUUUGGUGAUCUAGCCGUGUGAAUUAUUUUUGAAAUCACGCGUCUAAGUCGCCAAGAUU